CUACGGGUUGCUCCAGUGAGGAAUUUUGCGCAAUGGGGGAAACCCUGACGCAGCAACGCCGCGUGAGUGAAGAAGGCCCUUGGGUCGUAAAGCUCUGUCAAUGGGGAAGAAGUUAUUAUGUGUUAAUAGCACAUUUUAUUGACGGUACCCAUGAAGGAAGCACCGGCUAACUCCGUGCCAGCAGCCGCGGUAAUACGGGGGGUGCAAGCGUUAUUCGGAAUUAUUGGGCGUAAAGGGCACGCAGGCGGUCCGGUCAGUCAGAUGUGAAAGCCCGGGGCUCAACCCCGGACGUGCAUUUGAACAGCAGGACUUGAGUACGGGAGAGGAAAGGGGAAUUCCUGGUGUAGAGGUGAAAUUCGUAGAUAUCAGGAGGAACACCGGUGGCGAAGGUGCCUUUCUGGACCGAUACUGACGCUGAGGUGCGAAGGCGUGGGUAGCGAACGGGAUUAGAUACCCUAGUAGUC
RNAcentral lists this ribosomal RNA (464 nucleotides) under uncultured bacterium. Its description in RNAcentral is "partial 16S ribosomal RNA". It matches the Rfam family "Bacterial small subunit ribosomal RNA", at positions 339 to 795 of the family's 1533-position model. The record is from RNAcentral.